CCUACGGGUGACAGCAGUGAGGAAUAUUGGUCAAUGGGCGCGAGCCUGAACCAGCCAAGUAGCGUGAAGGAUGACUGCCCUACGGGUUGUAAACUUCUUUUAUAAAGGAAUAAAGUGCGUCACGUGUGCCUUUUUGUAUGUACUUUAUGAAUAAGGAUCGGCUAACUCCGUGCCAGCAGCCGCGGUAAUACGGAGGGUCCGAGCGUUAUCCGGAUUUAUUGGGUUUAAAGGGAGCGUAGAUGGGUUGUUAAGUCAGUUGUGAAAGUUUGCGGCUCAACCGUAAAAUUGCAAUUGAUACUGGCAGGCUUGAGUACAGGUAAGGUAGGCGGAAUUCGUGGUGUAGCGGUGAAAUGCUUAGAUAUCACGAAGAACUCCGAUUGCGAAGGCAGCUUACUAAACUGCCACUGACAUUGAUGCUCGAAAGUGUGGGUAUCAAACAGGAUUAGAUACCCGGGUAGUC
This 460-nucleotide ribosomal RNA is filed under the name uncultured bacterium. Its description in RNAcentral is "partial 16S ribosomal RNA". It matches the Rfam family "Bacterial small subunit ribosomal RNA", at positions 338 to 795 of the family's 1533-position model. The record is from RNAcentral.